This is a non-coding RNA of Pelobates cultripes (western spadefoot toad), 541 nucleotides long. NCBI's taxonomy places the organism in Eukaryota, Metazoa, Chordata, Amphibia, Anura, Pelobatidae. The record is from the annotation of a GenBank genome assembly.
CACGAACUCCAAUUCUUUUUUAUUCAAAAUGUUUAAAAACUUUCCCUUCUCCAAUAUGCUAAACAAACGUUGUUUCGUGUCUAGUGUGGGGUCCCCCUUUAUUGGUUUGUACGUAAGGGGAUCAUUCAAAAUUCUCCUACACUCUGCAUUGUAGUCUUUAGUGUUCAGGACCACAAUUCCUCCUCCCUUAUCUGCCGGUUUUAUUGUGAUUUCAUUAUUAUCACUAAGUUCUUUGAGUGCUGCACGUUCCCAUACACUUAAAUUCUGUUUAUGUUUCGCUAUUCUUUUUGGUAACUUUUCUAUAUCUGCAGUCACUGCCAUGGGGCCACUAAAAAGCUGACAUGGGGCCACUUGUGUCAUGGGGCCACUUGUUUGAUUCAUUGGGCAGAAUGUGGAGUUGUUUUUGAGGGUUGUGUGGUGAAAGAUGUUAUAUUCCGGUUUAGGUGCCAUAGGGACCGUAUUAUUCAAAAAGAAUUUUUUAAGAGUCAAUUUUCUCAUAUAUUUUUGUACGUCUAAAAAUGCUAUAAAUGGAUCUGAUUUC